Molecule: ribosomal RNA, 253 nt
Filed under: uncultured bacterium
Lineage: Bacteria
Description: partial 16S ribosomal RNA
Rfam family: Bacterial small subunit ribosomal RNA
Source: RNAcentral
UACAGAGGUCUCAAGCGUUGUUCGGAUUCAUUGGGCGUAGAGGGCGCGUAGGCGGAUCUUUAAGUCGGGGGUGAAAGCCCAGGGCUCAACCCUGGAAUUGCCUUCGAUACUGGAGAUCUUGAGACCGGAAGAGGUAAGUGGAACUGCGAGUGUAGAGGUGAAAUUCGUAGAUAUUCGCAAGAACACCAGUGGCGAAGGCGGCUUACUGGUCCGGUUCUGACGCUGAGGCGCGAAAGCGUGGGGAGCAAACAGG